This 5449-nucleotide long non-coding RNA is filed under the name Sorghum bicolor (sorghum). Its description in RNAcentral is "long non-coding RNA (SBIC_LNC000303)". The record is from RNAcentral. Lineage: Eukaryota; Viridiplantae; Streptophyta; Magnoliopsida; Poales; Poaceae.
GCCAGCAGGGGAGUCCCUUCCCCUCCUCUCCUCUCCAGCCACAAGGAUAAAUAGGAGACUCAUCUCCUUGGUACAAGAAGAGAGAACACACAGAUCACAGUUCCGUUGCAAAGUAGGAAUCCCCAUCUCGUAACUUCGCGCGCACGGAGGAGCGAGAGGGCAGGUGCCUCCGGAGCCCUUGCCGUUCGAGACCUUGCACGGGGGAUCGACAAUUAGGUUUUUGGGGAGCGUCUACGCGACUGCCCAACUCCAUUGCUGCUGUUCAUCUUCUUCCCGGAGGUCUCUUGGUGUUGCCGGUCGCCGUCUUCUCCUUCCGGUGAUUGGUUCGACGUCUUCACCUUCGUCUCUACUCCAUGGCGAUCGAGGAAGGACAAAGUUCUGGAAAUCUGAAUGCGCGAGUCUCAGGGUCGUAAUUAUGAUUCAUGCCAUAUUUAUAUUUAUCAAUAAUAUCAUAUAUGUCAUCAUCAUAUUGUUAAUUUAUGGAAUUAAAAUGACAUGGAAAUUGCCUAAUAUCCUAACAAUCCAAAAACCUAAUUAUAGGCAUUUUUCUGUCAGAGGUUUUGCUGCCGUGUUGAAACCUGAUACUUUUGAUGGUAAAACUUCUUGAUCUGGAAAGCUAAGAUGGAAUUGUGGCUAACUGCUAUGUCAUGUUAUCAUGCCGCUGAGGGCAAGCCUGCUAACUUGUCUCCUGAGGAUGAGGCUAAGUUUAAGGCUGAUGACAACCUCUUUCGAGGUGCAGUGAUUAGCGCACUUGAUCCAAAAUUCCAGAAAAGCUACAUAAUUCUUCCAAGCGGGAAAGAGUUAUGGGAUGCUCUUGUGGCUAAGUUUGGAGUUACAGACGCUGGUACUGAGCUGUAUCUUAUGGAGCAGUUGUAUGACUACAAGAUGGUUGAGAACCGUUCUGUAGUGGAACAAGCUCAUGAGAUUCAAGCACUGGCUAAGGAACUUGAACUUUUCCCUUGUCCCCUGCCUGACAAGUUUGUGGCUGGCGGUAUUAUCGCCAAGUUACCACCUUCUUGGAAGGAAUUUGCUACUUCUCUCAAACACAAGAGGCAAGAGUUCAAUGUUGAGGAACUCAUUGGUACUCUUGAUGUUGAGGAGAGGGCGAGAGCAAAGGAUAAUGGGAAAGGUGUUGAGCCUUCUACUGCCAAUGUGGUGCAGAAGAACUUCCACAAGUUUAACAAGAAAAAAAAAAUCAGAAAAAGAAAGAGAACAACCAUAAGCCCAAUCGGUCCACUCAGUUCAAGAAAACUACCAACAAUAACAAGAUGGGAAGCUGCUUUGUUUGUGGCAGUGAGGAACACUGGGCAAGUGAGUGCCCAGAUCGCAAGUUCUUCCAAGGGAAGAAAUCAGCUAAUGUUGUAACUACUGAGACUGUAGGAACAUCUGGGUAUGGUAAUUCUUUGCCAUAUGUUCUUUCAGUUUGUAAUUCACCUGAGUGGUGGAUGGAUAGUGGUGCAAAUAUACAUGUGUGUGCUGAUGUUUCCUUGUUUGCCACUUACCAGGUCGGGAGGUCUGGCGCCUUGUUGAUGGGAAAUGGGUCGCGUGCUCAUGUUCUUGGUGUUGGUACGGUCAUUCUGAAGUUUACUUCGGGGAUGACGGUGCCAUUGAAGAGCGUGCAGCAUGUGCCCUCUAUCAAGAAAAAUCUUGUUAGUGCUUCUAUGCUAUGUCGAGAUGGUUAUAGAGUUGUCCUUGAAUCGAACAAAUGUGUUGUGUCGAAACAUGGAUCCUUUGUUGGUAAAGGAUAUGAUUGCGGAGGUUUGUUCCGCUUAUCUCUACAUGAUGUGUGUAAUAAACUAGUGAAUUCUGUUGAUAUUUCUGAUGAGUCGGAUUUAUGGCAUUCACGGUUUUGUCACGCAAGUUAUGGUUGUCUUAUGCGGUUAGCAAAUCUGAAUUUAAUUCCUAAAUUUAACUUGGUCAAUAAAUCUAAGUGCCAUGUAUGCGUUUAAUCAAAACAACCCCGCAAGCCUCAUAAGGCUGCUGAGGCGAGGAACUUGGCACCUCUAGAACUUAUUCAUUCCGAUUUGUGCGAAAUGAAUGGUAUUUUGACUAAAGGCGGUAAAAGAUACUUUAUCACAUUUAUAGAUGACUCCACUAGAUUUUGCUAUGUGUAUCUCUUAAAAACAAAGGAUGAAGCGCUCCAUUAUUUUAAGGCCUAUAAAGCUGAAGUUGAAACCAACUAGAGAGGAAAAUAAAACAUUUAAGGUCUGAUAGAGGUGGAGAAUAUUUCUCAAAUGAUUUCGAUGAAUUUUGUGUGGAACACGGUAUUAUUCAUGAGAGGACAUUGCCAUUCUCACCACAAUCCAAUGGGAUUGCUGAAAGGAAAAACCGUACUUUAACAGAGUUGGUGAAUGCCAUGUUAAAUACAGCGGGAUUAUCCAAGGAAUGGUGGGGUGAGGCAAUUUUGACCGCGUGUCAUGUCCUAAACAGGGUUCCUACUAAAAACAAAGAGAUCACUCCAUUCAAGGAAUGGGAAAAGAAGAGAAUAAAUCUUUCAUAUUUACGCACUUGGGGUUGUUUGGCAAAGGUGAAUGUGCCAAUCAACAAGAAGCGUAAAUUAGGACCUAAAACUGUUGAUUGUAUUUUCCUUGGUUAUGCUUUCCACAGCGUUGGAUAUAGGUUCUUAAUUAUAAAAUCUGAUGUGCCUGAUCUGUAUGUUGAUACUAUCAUGGAAUCGAGAGACGCUACAUUUUUUGAGAAUGAGUUUCCCAUGAAAAAUACACAUAGUAAAAUAAGUCAUGAGACUAUAAUACCCCAUGAGCAAGAAUUGUCUAUUCCUAUAGAUCAUGCUGAGGAGACUCACAUGCACAUCCCUGAGGAGGAUGACACUAUAGUCACACGAAAGGGCAAGAGACAGAGGAUUGCAAAAUCCUUUGGUGAUGACUUUAUAGUGUACCUUGUGGAAGACACGCCAACUACUAUUGUUGAGGCAUAUUCCUCUCCUGAUGCCGACUUAUGGAAGGAGGCAGUAAGGAGUGAGAUGGAAUCUAUUAUGUCCAACGGAACAUGGGAGGUCGUUGACCGUCCCUAUGGCUAUCAACCUAUAGGCUGCAAAUGGAUCUUUAAGAAAAAGCUUAGGCCUGAUGGUACAAUUGAGAGGUACAAGGCAAGGCUGGUGGCCAAAGGAUAUACCCAGAAAGAGGGGGAAGAUUUCUUUGACACCUAUUCACCGGUCGCUCGAUUGACUACAAUUCGCACUUUGAUUGCCGUGGCAGCUUCAUACGGUCUUAUCAUUCAUCAGAUGGAUGUUAAGACGGCUUUCCUUAAUGGAGAGUUAGAUGAGGAGAUCUAUAUGGAUCAGCCAGAAGGGUUCAUUGCGGAUGGUCAAGAAAGCAAGGUGUGUAGGCUGUUAAAGUCAUUAUAUGGCCUAAAGCAAGCACCUAAGAAAUGGCAUGAAAAGUUUGAUAGUACACUUAUAGCUGCUGGCUUUGUUGUGAAUGAAGCUGACACUUGUGUGUAUUAUCGAUAUGGUGGGGGUGAGGCUGUUAUGCUAUGCCUUUAUGUUGAUGACAUUUUGAUCUUUGGAUCUAAUCUCAAUGUGAUUGAGGAAGUAAAGAAACUUCUAUCGAGUAAUUUUGAUAUGAAAGAUUUGGGAGAAGCUGAUGUCAUUCUUAACAUCAAGCUUAUCAGAGAAGGUGAUGGUGGGGUAACUUUGUUACAAUCCCAUUAUGUGGAAAAGGUAUUAAGUCGCUUUGGGUUUAGUGACUAUGAUCCUGCUCCCACGCCUUAUGACCCUAGUGUGCUAUUGAGGAAAAAUCGAAGAAUAGCAAGGGAUCAAUUAACAUACUCCCAGAUCAUUGGCUCACUUAUGUACCUUGCGAGUGCAACGAGACCUGAUAUUUCAUAUGCUGUGAGCAAGCUGAGUCGGUUUGUGUCAAAACCGGGCUAUGAUCACUGGCGUGCUCUUGAGAGAGUGUUGCGCUACCUGAAAGGGACUAUGUCCUACGGUAUUCACUAUACCGGAAACCCUAGAGUGUUGGAAGGCUAUUGUGAUGCCAACUGGAUCUCUGAUGCUGAUGAGCUUUAUGCCACAAGCGGAUAUGUGUUCCUGCUUGGAGGUGGUGCUGUUUCCUGGAAGUCUUGCAAGCAGACUAUCUUAACGAAGUCUACAAUGGAAGCAGAACUCACAGCGUUAGACACUGCUGGGGCUGAGGCCGAGUGGCUUCGUGAACUCCUGAUGGAUUUACCGGUAGUUGAAAAACCAAUACCGGCUAUAUCCAUGAACUGUGACAACCAAACUGUGAUUACUAAAGUCAACAGUUCCAGGAAUAACAUGAAGUCUACAAGGCAUGUUAAGAGACGAUUAAAAUCUGUCAGAAAGUUGAAAACCUCCGGAGUUAUAACGGUGGACUAUGUCCAUACAUCGAAUAAUCUGGCAGAUCAAUUCACUAAGGGACUGUCACGUAAUGUGAUAGAAAGUGCAUCGAGAGAGAUGGGUAUGAGACCCACAAGUUAAUCUACUGUAGUGGUAACCUGCUCUAUGUGAUCGGAGAUCCCGUGAAGUAGAGUGGUGAAACAAGCUAUGAGUAGAUUGAGAGGAAAGUUCCCUUUUGAACCUAUCUCUGAUGUACAACUUUCCUUCUGUAAGGCAGGUUGGUAUUUACCUUAAUGUAUUCCAAGAGUCUUAAACAGAUGAGAUGUUGGCCUACAGAACAUCUUUUGAGGAAAACACCUAUAUGAGUCAGACUGCUGGUCAUAGUCUAUGGGACUUGGGUAAUCCCUAAAUACUCAUGAAAGGCACUGAAGUGUGACUUAUAUGCUUCAAACAGCGGGGAUGCCUUGUGCAGCCAAGUAUCAGCAAAGAGCUUGAGUGGACCUCAUCUCGCACAAAACUGUCAAUUCAAGGCAUAGUCCAUUGUUCAGUUGUGAGUGGGUGAAACUUUUGUUCUAGAUGGAUGUUCAACUUAACAGUCUCCAUCGAAACACUGAUAUAUCAAAGAAUUGUGGAUCUGAUGCUUCAUAAUUACAAACCCUAGAGUUUGGUGGGGAUUGUUGGAUUUAUUAUGGGUUAGACCCAUUUAGAUUUAAUAAAUCAAUAAACUCUAUGGUGUGUAAUUAUGGACAAUAUAUACAUUGUACCAAAUAGGAGCAAGUCCAAGGGUUGGAGUGGCUGGCUGAUGGUACGGGAGUUUCAACUCAAUUAUGUGGGAGUUUCAACUCAUUAUCUGCGGGUGUUUCGAUAAUUAAUUUAGGGAGUUUCAGCUCCGCGUGAAAACCAUGAUGAUGCCCGUCUCUUCAGCCGCCAGCAGGGGAGUCCCUUCCCCUCCUCUCCUCUCCAGCCACAAGGAUAAAUAGGAGACUCAUCUCCUUGGUACAAGAAGAGAGAACACACAGAUCACAGUUCCGUUGCAAAGUAGGAAUCCCCAUCUCGUAACUUCGCGCGCACGGAGGAGCGAGAGGGCAGGUGCCUCCGGAGCCCUUGCCGUUCGAGACCUUGCACGGGGGAUCG